Molecule: RNase P RNA, 153 nt
Filed under: Atlantibacter hermannii
Lineage: Bacteria; Pseudomonadati; Pseudomonadota; Gammaproteobacteria; Enterobacterales; Enterobacteriaceae
Description: partial RNase P RNA component class A
Rfam family: Bacterial RNase P class A
About the family: Ribonuclease P (RNase P) is a ubiquitous endoribonuclease, found in archaea, bacteria and eukarya as well as chloroplasts and mitochondria. Its best characterised activity is the generation of mature 5'-ends of tRNAs by cleaving the 5'-leader elements of precursor-tRNAs.
Source: RNAcentral
GAAGCUGACCAGACAGUCGCCGCUUCGUCGUCGUCCUCCUUCGGGGGAGACGGGCGGAGGGGAGGAAAGUCCGGGCUCCAUAGGGCAGGGUGCCAGGUAACGCCUGGGGGGCGCAAGCCUACGACCAGUGCAACAGAGAGCAAACCGCCGAUG